Molecule: ribosomal RNA, 253 nt
Filed under: uncultured bacterium
Lineage: Bacteria
Description: partial 16S ribosomal RNA
Rfam family: Bacterial small subunit ribosomal RNA
Source: RNAcentral
UACGUAGGGGGCAAGCGUUGUCCGGAUUUAUUGGGCGUAAAGCGCUCGCAGGUGGUCCGUCGCGUCGUGCGUGAAAGACCCCGGCUCAACUGGGGAGGGUCGUGCGAUACGGGCGGACUGGAGGCCAGUAGGGGGAUGCGGAAUUCCGGGUGUAGUGGUGGAAUGCGUAGAGAUCCGGAGGAACACCAGCGGCGAAGGCGGCAUCCUGGACUGGUCCUGACACUCAGGAGCGACAGCGUGGGGAGCAAACAGG